This 373-nucleotide ribosomal RNA is filed under the name uncultured bacterium. RNAcentral's name for it is "bacterial SSU rRNA". It matches the Rfam family "Bacterial small subunit ribosomal RNA", at positions 525 to 896 of the family's 1533-position model. The record is from RNAcentral.
ACGUAGGAGACGAGCGUUAUCCGGAUUUACUGGGUGUAAAGCGCGUGCAGGCGGUUUGUUAAGUUGGAUGUGAAAGCUCCCGGCUAAACUGGGAGAGGUCGUUCAAAACUGGCAGACUAGAGUGUGGUAGAGGAGAGUGGAAUUCCGAGUGUAGCGGUAAAAUGCAUAGAUAUUCGGAAGAACACCAGUGGCGAAGGCGACUUUCUGGACCACAACUGACGCUCAGACGCGAAAGCCAGGGUAGCAAACGGGAUUAGAGACCCCGGUAGUCCUGGCAGUAAACGAUGUGAACUUGGCGUCGGCGGGAUAAAACCUGUCGGUGCCGAAGCAAACGCGAUAAGUUCACCACCUGGGGACUACGGCCGCAAGGUUA